RNAcentral lists this ribosomal RNA (776 nucleotides) under uncultured Neocallimastigales. RNAcentral describes it as "partial large subunit ribosomal RNA". It matches the Rfam family "Eukaryotic large subunit ribosomal RNA", at positions 23 to 647 of the family's 3401-position model. Lineage: Eukaryota; Fungi; Neocallimastigomycota; Neocallimastigomycetes; Neocallimastigales. The record is from RNAcentral.
AUAGAGACUCAGAGCUGCAUAUCAAUAAGCGGAGGAAAAGAAACUAACAAGGAUUCCCUUAGUAACGGCGAGUGAAGCGGGAAGAGCUCAAAUUUGAAAUCUUCAAGGUUCUACCUUGACGAAUUGUAGUUUAAAGAAGUGUUUUCUGUUAGUGGAGUGGCAAAAGUUCUUUGGAAUAGGACAUCAUAGAGGGUGAGAAUCCCGUAUUUGAUCAUUCCUUCUAGCUUUGUGAUACACUUUCAACGAGUCGGAUUGUUUGGGAAUGCAGUCCAAAAUGGGUGGUAAAUUUCAUCUAAAGCUAAAUAUUGGCGAGAGACCGAUAGCGAACAAGUACCGUGAGGGAAAGAUGAAAAGAACUUUGAAAAGAGAGUUAAACAGUACGUGAAAUUGUCAAAAGGGAAGCGUUUGACACCAGUGUUGUUUUUCCGAAAAUCAAUUACGAAUGUUUUAUUUUUGAGGAGUUAUGACUUCAUCGGCUUGCUUCCUUUCUUUACUGAAACUUUCUUAAUGCACUUUUCGGUUAACAAGUCAACAUCAAUUUCUUUUGUUGUAAAAGGGUAAGAGGAAGGUGGCUUACGCUUCGGCGUAAGUGUUUAUAGCCUUUUACCUCUGCAAUCGGAGAGAUUGAGGUCUGCAGCGUAGAUCCUUCGGGGUUAGAUACAUUUGUGCUAAGCUAUUGCCUUGUAUAGACAACUUGUUGACUAUGCUCAGUCAUGUAGCUUACUCGCUUAUGCUAUUUUACCUACGCUUAGGAUGUUGACGAGACUGUCGAUCUC